RNAcentral lists this small nucleolar RNA (93 nucleotides) under Sus scrofa (pig). RNAcentral describes it as "Small nucleolar RNA SNORD116 (ENSSSCG00070007429.1)". It matches the Rfam family "Small nucleolar RNA SNORD116". Rfam says of the family: HBII-85 is a member of the C/D class of snoRNAs, which contain the C (UGAUGA) and D (CUGA) box motifs. HBII-85 is encoded in a tandemly repeated array with another C/D snoRNA, HBII-52, in the Prader-Willi syndrome (PWS) region of chromosome 15. The record is from RNAcentral. Lineage: Eukaryota; Metazoa; Chordata; Mammalia; Artiodactyla; Suidae.
GGAUCGAUGAUGACACCCACAAACGCAUUCCUGGAAAAUCUGAACAAAAUGAGUGAGAACUCACUACCGUCUCCUCAUCGCAAACUGAGGUCC